GAUGAAGAACGUAGCGAAAUGCGAUAAGUAAUGUGAAUUGCAGAAUUCAGUGAAUCAUCGAAUCUUUGAACGCACAUUGCGCCCAUUAGUAUUCUAGUGGGCAUGCCUGUUCGAGCGUCAUUAAGUCCAUUAAGCCUAGUUGCUUAGCGUUGGGAGUAUUACCGUACGGUAACUCCUCAAAGUCAGUGGCAGGGUUACGGUACACUCUAAGCGUAGUAGAUUUCUUUCUCGCUUUUGCUGUGGCCGCGGCCGUUGCCAUAAACCUAUACUUUCUUAGUUGGUUGACCUCGGAUCAGGUAGGAAUACCCGCUGAACUUAAGCAUAUCAAUAAGCGGAGAA
RNAcentral lists this unclassified non-coding RNA (339 nucleotides) under soil metagenome. Its description in RNAcentral is "partial contains 5.8S ribosomal RNA, internal transcribed spacer 2, and large subunit ribosomal RNA". The stretch from base 1 to 120 matches the Rfam family "5.8S ribosomal RNA", at positions 35 to 154 of the family's 154-position model. The record is from RNAcentral.